Danionella cerebrum is the source of this 71-nucleotide non-coding RNA. Lineage: Eukaryota; Metazoa; Chordata; Actinopteri; Cypriniformes; Danionidae. The record is from the annotation of a GenBank genome assembly.
UUUCCUUUGGCUCAUAUAGUAGAGCAUUGCGCUAGCAAUGCAAAGGUUUCUGGUUCAAACCCCAGGGAAAG